This 406-nucleotide ribosomal RNA is filed under the name bacterium enrichment culture clone ALO1_GLFRUDD03G1C84. RNAcentral describes it as "bacterial SSU rRNA". It matches the Rfam family "Bacterial small subunit ribosomal RNA", at positions 9 to 416 of the family's 1533-position model. The record is from RNAcentral.
GAGUUUGAUCAUGGCUCAGAUUGAACGCUGGCGGCAUGCCUUACACACGCAAGUCGAACGGCAGCACGGGAGCUUGCUCCUGGUGGCGAGUGGCGAACGGGUGAGUAAUGCAUCGGAACGUAUCCUGGAGUGGGGGAUAACGUAGCGAAAGUUACGCUAAUACCGCAUAUUCUGUGAGCAGGAAAGCGGGGGACCUUCGGGCCUCGCGCUCUUGGAGCGGCCGAUGUCGGAUUAGCUAGUUGGUGAGGUAAAGGCUCACCAAGGCGACGAUCCGUAGCAGGUCUGAGAGGAUGAUCUGCCACACUGGAACUGAGACACGGUCCAGACUCCUACGGGAGGCAGCAGUGGGAAUUUUGGACAAUGGGGGCAACCCUGAUCCAGCCAUGCCGCGUGAGUGAAGAAGGCC